RNAcentral lists this long non-coding RNA (703 nucleotides) under Lathyrus oleraceus (garden pea). RNAcentral describes it as "Pisum sativum (pea) long non-coding RNA (PSAT_LNC028134)". The record is from RNAcentral. Lineage: Eukaryota; Viridiplantae; Streptophyta; Magnoliopsida; Fabales; Fabaceae.
UUAUCUAAUAAGUCUAAUCGAUUACGUGCCGAUUCUGACUCGUAUCUGGACAAUUUCUUAGGAUGGUAACCAAUUACACAAAAUAUGUAACCAAUUAUAGACGUGUUAUUACUUGAAAAUAACCAUGUGGUAGUCGGUUACAGACACAAUGUAAUUGGUUUCAGGCAUGUGCGAAAGUAAUUUUCACUUCUUUUCUCACGUUUUAUCCAAUUCUAACCUCAUACAAUGUUUUAACACAUCAAAUAAUCCACAUAUCAUAAAUUCAAAUAAAUCAAACAUGUUUUUUUCAUGGAUUCAGUUCCCAUCCAUCAUACAAUCAACCUAGUGGUUCUAAUUUCAAAUCAAAACCUAUGGAGGAACUCACCUUUAGAAAAAACUUGAAUUAGAGGUAAUGAUAGGAAGAUGAUGAUUCAAGCUUUUCAAUUUUAUUCUCUUUAUUCCAUGACUCUAAAACUUGAUCAAGCAAACAAGCUCUCCAACUUUGACCAUCCAUUUCUUCUUCUACUCACCCUAACUUCGGCUUGAGAGGAUAAUGAUGAUGACUUGAUGACACAGUCAAACAAAUUUGAUUCUUUUCACAAGGUACUCCAAUAAAAACAAUCUUCUACAAGGACUUAGGAUUCUCACACAUGCAAUGAAUCACUUCAAGAAGGAGCAAGUUAUCUCUCCUCUUCUUCAUUCUAUCCACCCGUCUCUCUCCCAC